UUACGUCCAUAUCAUUUUGAAACACUAGUUCACAUACAAUCACUGAAGUUAAAUAAUGUCAAGCUUGGUCAGUCCCUAGAUGGGUGACUGCUUGGGAACACUAGGUGCUGUAAG
This is a non-coding RNA of Acanthosepion pharaonis, 114 nucleotides long. NCBI's taxonomy places the organism in Eukaryota, Metazoa, Mollusca, Cephalopoda, Sepiida, Sepiidae. The record is from the annotation of a GenBank genome assembly.